Molecule: ribosomal RNA, 600 nt
Filed under: bacterium enrichment culture clone F61x_D27_T3_C04
Lineage: Bacteria
Description: bacterial SSU rRNA
Rfam family: Bacterial small subunit ribosomal RNA
Source: RNAcentral
AACGGUCCAGACUCCUACGGGAGGCAGCAGUGGGGAAUUUUGGACAAUGGGCGCAAGCCUGAUCCAGCAAUGCCGCGUGAGUGAAGAAGGCCUUCGGGUUGUAAAGCUCUUUUGUCAGGGAAGAAACGGUGAGGGCUAAUAUCCCUUGCUAAUGACGGUACCUGAAGAAUAAGCACCGGCUAACUACGUGCCAGCAGCCGCGGUAAUACGUAGGGUGCAAGCGUUAAUCGGAAUUACUGGGCGUAAAGCGUGCGCAGGCGGUUUUGUAAGUCUGUCGUGAAAUCCCCGGGCUCAACCUGGGAAUUGCGAUGGAGACUGCAAGGCUAGAAUCUGGCAGAGGGGGGUAGAAUUCCACGUGUAGCAGUGAAAUGCGUAGAGAUGUGGAGGAACACCGAUGGCGAAGGCAGCCCCCUGGGUCAAGAUUGACGCUCAUGCACGAAAGCGUGGGGAGCAAACAGGAUUAGAUACCCUGGUAGUCCACGCCCUAAACGAUGUCUACUAGUUGUCGGGUUUUAAUUAACUUGGUAACGCAGCUAACGCGUGAAGUAGACCGCCUGGGGAGUACGGUCGCAAGAUUAAAACUCAAAGGAAUUGACGGAA